This is a long non-coding RNA of Drosophila novamexicana, 432 nucleotides long. RefSeq lists it as uncharacterized. The record is from RefSeq and is a predicted model, not a curated record. Lineage: Eukaryota; Metazoa; Arthropoda; Insecta; Diptera; Drosophilidae. The transcript is spliced from 3 exons.
AUAAAUUUAAAAAAUAUUAACACCAUAAAAUAACGCAAGAAACUGAUUGCAAAACUCAUUUAUAAUCCCUUUUAGUAUCUGCGCCCCAGAUUAUUUUGAUGGGCCGCCAGUCUUAGCGACUUUUGCUGUAAAUAUCGAAAAAAUGAUGGCACAACGUUUUACGCAGCGGGAGCUGUGCACUGGGAACUGGCAACGAGGCUCCGCUGUGUGGCACACCUACCCCGGGUGUAGAAUUCCCCUUCCAAUAUAUAUCCCCAUAGCCGCGCACUCCGUAGGCCCUAGGUAUGGCCGCGUGCGUUGCGUGUGAUGUGCGUGAAAUGCAACUAAAUCAUGCCGCGAAAUAUUUCAGGGAUUUAAGAAACGCAUACAAGAGAAAUGAGGCAAGAGCUGAAAACUGAAGGGCAUGCAAUAAGAAUACAAGAACGCGCGCCC